CAGUGAAGGUUAUUGUUGGCUGCCUCCAGGGUGAUGCAGCAGAGUGGAGGCACAGGGGAGCUGCUGCAGCUCCUCCAAGGCUUACAGUGGAAGUUCAAGGACUAAAAUUGUCACAAUAGAGAGGGACUGAGUCUGCCUUGCCAAGUAAUGUGUUUGGAGGCAGCGUGUCUUGCUGCAGAGUAAUAAAACACUGUUCCAUCA
This is a long non-coding RNA of Pipra filicauda (Wire-tailed manakin), 201 nucleotides long. RefSeq lists it as uncharacterized. The record is from RefSeq and is a predicted model, not a curated record. Lineage: Eukaryota; Metazoa; Chordata; Aves; Passeriformes; Pipridae. The transcript has 2 exons.